This is a small nuclear RNA of Sarcophilus harrisii (Tasmanian devil), 100 nucleotides long. NCBI's taxonomy places the organism in Eukaryota, Metazoa, Chordata, Mammalia, Dasyuromorphia, Dasyuridae. The record is from Ensembl.
UUGCUUCAACAGCAGAAAUACUAAAAUUGGAACAAUACAGAGAUUAGCAUGGCCCCUGCACAAAGAUGACACACAAAUUCAUGAAGCAUUCCAUAUUUUU